RNAcentral lists this ribosomal RNA (652 nucleotides) under Paeniglutamicibacter kerguelensis. RNAcentral's name for it is "bacterial SSU rRNA". It matches the Rfam family "Bacterial small subunit ribosomal RNA", at positions 46 to 710 of the family's 1533-position model. Lineage: Bacteria; Bacillati; Actinomycetota; Actinomycetes; Micrococcales; Micrococcaceae. The record is from RNAcentral.
GCUUAACACAUGCAAGUCGAACGAUGACCCCCAGCUUGCUGGGGUGAUUAGUGGCGAACGGGUGAGUAACACGUGAGUAACCUGCCCCUGACUCUGGGAUAAGCCCGGGAAACUGGGUCUAAUACUGGAUAUGCACCGUGGACCGCAUGGUCCUUGGUGGAAAGAUUUUUUGGUCAGGGAUGGACUCGCGGCCUAUCAGCUUGUUGGUGAGGUAAUGGCUCACCAAGGCGACGACGGGUAGCCGGCCUGAGAGGGUGACCGGCCACACUGGGACUGAGACACGGCCCAGACUCCUACGGGAGGCAGCAGUGGGGAAUAUUGCACAAUGGGCGAAAGCCUGAUGCAGCGACGCCGCGUGAGGGAUGACGGCCUUCGGGUUGUAAACCUCUUUCAGUAGGGAAGAAGCGAAAGUGACGGUACCUGCAGAAGAAGCGCCGGCUAACUACGUGCCAGCAGCCGCGGUAAUACGUAGGGCGCAAGCGUUAUCCGGAAUUAUUGGGCGUAAAGAGCUCGUAGGCGGUUUGUCGCGUCUGCCGUGAAAGUCCGAGGCUCAACCUCGGAUCUGCGGUGGGUACGGGCAGACUAGAGUGAUGUAGGGGAGACUGGAAUUCCUGGUGUAGCGGUGAAAUGCGCAGAUAUCAGGAGGAACACC